This 4123-nucleotide long non-coding RNA is filed under the name Homo sapiens (human). RNAcentral's name for it is "long non-coding RNA NONHSAT151895.1". The record is from RNAcentral. Lineage: Eukaryota; Metazoa; Chordata; Mammalia; Primates; Hominidae.
UCUGUCACCUGAAGAGGGCUGCUGAAGUGAAGCAAACAUUUCGAGGGAGGGGGCGACGGGCCGGCCUCUCCGGGGACCAGGCGAGAGCAGGCUCCCGCUGCAGCAGGGCUGCAGAGAUGGGGUCCCCUCUGAUAAUUCUGUAAUCAUCCUCUGUUGAAAAUAAAGGUCUACAAAGUGUCCGUUACCCUGGAGCUGUACAAGUCACACACAGCUCCAUUGGAGAGAAAACUGGAUGGAACCAUUUGACUGAAAAUCCAUGUCAAAAGGCCAACAAGAAAGAGCUGAGACACUGCAGAAAGAGCAGGAAUAAAUAAGAGGUGAAGACAGACAGAGACCAGACAAGGAGGACUCAAUUACAGACUGACAGAAGACUCAAGGAAGAAAAUGAAGGUGUCUCCAGCCCCUUCAAGUUAUGCCUUUGGGAUGCUGGACCUGUGAAGAACUGUCGAAACAGCUGUAGAGGAAUUGUGGUGGAGGCAGUAAUGGCUCCUUUAGUAGCAGAGAAUAGAAAGAUCUCGAAAAUAAAGCCUAUUGUCAGGAGACUUGCACCCAUCCUGGCCUACUUCCAAGGGGAUAAUGUGGAGGCAUCAGAGAAACAAAAACAGAAACGAAGAUAUCCAUGAUACCUAAUGUUACAAGGAGAAGAAAGCACUUGUAAUCACAAGGGUACUGAGAAAAGGUAACAGACACAUUUAUAUAUGUGGAACCAGGAAUCUUUCUGAUGACUUUCAGAAAGGGUGGACAUACAAAUAAAAAUCAACCUUCUUCUUGGUGAGGAUUUGACCCUGGUUCCAUAUUAACCCAAGAGCUGAUAAGCACAAACCUGGAGUCCAGUUUUUAUGCAAAUAUAACAACUCUGCUUAUACCUUGAAUUACUUGUAUGAAGCGGGGAAAAUUUUUUACUCUCUCUGAACCCAUAAUUAAAAAAAAUCUGUAUGACUUGGAUAAUAAACCCACUUCCUAGAAUUUUUAUGAAUAUGAAAUAUUGUGUGAACUACCUAGUAUGUUAUGGAGCACAUGGUUUGUGUUUAAUAUGUGGAAGCUAGUAUUGCUAUUAUUGUUGUUGUUAUAAACAAUAGCACUUCUAUCUACAUAAUUCUCAAACUUUCCCCCUGAAGCUCAAGAUACUUUAGUACAUGAAUUAUUAUUAACUUCAAUGCACAGAUUGAGAAACUGGGAAAAAAUAUGCAAGCCGCAGAGUGGAGAAAGAAAAUUCCAGGUGUCCAUAUUCCUUGUCAUGUAAUUGCCACUGUAAUUAGAUCUACGUGAUGAUGACCUUUAGGGGACUGCCUCAGAGUGCUGAAUUGUUCAAUUCACUAGAGUGGCACCAUCAAAAUGACCUGAUAAUGUUAGCACAAUUGUCCUUGUACCAAGCAGAAGAGUCCUUUCAUUCCUUUUCUUCCUGUAGUUCCAGGGCUACACAAGCCCAGCAAAAAGCAGAAGCAGUGAAUGAACAAAUUAUUUGGGAUGAUGCUAGUGGCUGAUGUCUCAGAGGAGGCAAGCACCCUUUCUCAGACAACCCAGUUUCUUGACUCUCAGCCUUCUUUGGUUUAACUUUGGAUUGUUAACCCUUUACUGCCUGAAACUUUGUCUAACUCCCUGUGCCUUUGGAGUAUGAAGUUCCCAGUAUAUCAUCUGCAUUGAUUUUGGUUCCUGUUUCACAAGCUGUGCAUCACAGACCUUUAUCUUGCAAUUAUCCAUGGUCCGGAUGACCAACUUCAGCCUUAAAACCAGGAGCAGACUUUUCCAAUCAACUUUUGCAAAUUCAAGGGGAAAGAAAGAAAAGAACCAUGUAGGCUCUUGGAUGUUACUUCUCUUAGGGAAAAAGGAAGGAUAUAGCUUGAUAUUUUUACUGCAGUCUCCCCAAACUUUCCACUCAUCAUGCUGCCAACAUCAUUAUUAAUCUGUACCUUCUCUGGAAUUUUAUGGGCAUGUUGAAUUCAUUGUCAUCUCCAGAAAAGAGCAAAGCAUGGUGUGGACAAUUUAAAACCACAUUCAGUUGCUUUAUUUUGGCCAAAAGUUUAAACAUUUUUGUUCUUUAUUUUUUUUUUAGCUUGUUAAGCCGUUUGCAGAACUACUGCUAUAGAUUAAACCUGACAGGUCUAAGCACAUAGUAUAACUGUAUAACUGUGUGAUGCACACAUGUGUGUAUUCCCUUCCCUACACACACACACACACACACACACACACACACACACACACACACACAUUCCAUCAGCAUGUCAGAUUUAUGGAAUUUGAAAUGUUUCUUUCUCUAGAGAAUGGUAUAACAUUUACAUAAAAUAUCAGCUUACAUUUUGUGAAAUUUGACAAAUUACUCAUAAAUCUCUCUUUCUCCCUUAAUCUGUUCUUGACAUGUCCCCAAAAGUUUUGAGAUGGCCUUAGUGAUACAUCUUAUACUCAUGUCAAGUAUUUUGUUGACAUCAAUAGGAGUUUUACUCAUGUAAGAAGCCCUGGAUUGGGUUACCAGACACAUGAAGCAGACAAGAAGCAUUCAAAAGUUGCCAGCGAAUAAGAAGUGUCAAAUAAGUGUCCACCACAAGAGCAAAUAUCCCUGGGUAUCCAUUAACUUCAAUAAACAGAACAUAUUUGGCAGUGUGCUGUUUGACAUGGAUUUACAAAGGAGUUUGCCAAAUCAUUUUUUUCUUUCUCUCUGUGAAAUGUCAGUGAAAGAAAAAAUAGGGGAAUGGUGGUCCCAUUACUGGAUAAUUUCUAUAAUAUUGUAUAAGAAAGAUAAGUUAUUUGAUAUUCAAGAUAUGUAUAGUGCACAGAGGCACCAAUUUGGUGGGGAAUUGAUGACUCUUUCACCAAUCUUCUAAGCACUGGCUUUUACAAAGCCAGUCCUAUGACUUACGGCCCCAUUCUGAGUAAAACACAUAGUUCAAUAUCUCUUGACUGGUAUCUUAAAAAAUUGUUUAAAACAAAUGUUCUUCUAUUUCUGUUUUAGCAUUUAUUUUUGUUUGCACAUGACUAAGGCUGUUUCUUUUUGGUAAAUUUAAUUUGCUAUAGUCUGGACCCCAACACUGAAAGAAUGCAUCCUCUGAGAUAGGGCUGCCAACUAUGGCAAGUAGCAUUGCAAAGUAUAUAAAUUUGCUCUAUAUACUUUUCAAACUUCUCGGAUGCAGUCACUGACAUUUGGCCUGAUCUAGGAAACCCUGGGGAUUGGAAAAACACAAAGCAUACUACUGUACUGACAUGCAAAAUGUCUUAUAAUCUGUCUUUAUCUUUCAUGGCUGCAGUGGUCUGGAUAAAUUAGACCAAAUUGGGCUAAACACUGUCCUUGGCUACACUCACGUAGCUGUUUUCAACGGCUAAUAGGAGCUGUGUGUGCACAUCCAAGGACAGGAUUUGGCCCCCUUUGUCUUUGCACAAGCAGUUGCUUUAGUUGAUAUGAUUAUUCCUGAAUGACUGUUUUAUAAGCAGUAUUUUUGCCCAGUUUUAAUCUUUUUUCACUUUAUUCUUCAUAGUCAAGACAUUUAUGAAUAUGGAAACGUGUAACCUAAAAUCUUCGGUUUCUGGAAAAAUAAAAAUCUCCCUAAUAAAACCUGUGAAAAUUGCAAAUGAACUGGGAAAGAGGUAAAGCAAGUCAUAUAAACGUUGGCAAAAACACAAGUAACACUGAGAAAACGUGUUAACACUCAUUAAUGGUUAACAAUCUGAUUAAAAUUUUUACAGCACAUUGAUCCUUGGCCUUUCAAAAGGGAAUCUGUCAUUAAAUAAUAUUUUCAAGGAAAAUAUUAGAAUGGGAUGUGCCUAAGUUUAUAUAAAUGACAGUUAAAAAGAUAACUGUCACAAUGUUUACUGAUGAGGUUUCCAUUUCUCUUAACGUUUAGAAGUUAAAUGAAAAAUGGAUUGUGGAUUAUAGCCUGAGCAGAUUUGAGCCUAAAUGUAAUAUAACAGCUUGUGGCAAAUGGAGGUAGCAGGAGAGUAGAGCCAACUAGCCAAAAAUCCCCUGGAAAGGUGAAACUGAAAUCACUCAUUCAUUCAAAAAGUGUUUACUGAGUAGCUUCAAAGAGCAAAUAUUAGAUGAAGUAUCCCAUCAUUUGAUUCUGGAUUGAGAACUCUUUGAGAGCAGAGACGAUGGCUUCACCUGAGUAUCCCCAGAGCCUGACGUUAGACAAGU